This is an unclassified non-coding RNA of Macaca fascicularis (crab-eating macaque), 148 nucleotides long. It matches the Rfam family "Metazoan signal recognition particle RNA". From Rfam's summary of the family: The signal recognition particle (SRP) is a universally conserved ribonucleoprotein. It is involved in the co-translational targeting of proteins to membranes. The eukaryotic SRP consists of a 300-nucleotide 7S RNA and six proteins: SRPs 72, 68, 54, 19, 14, and 9. Lineage: Eukaryota; Metazoa; Chordata; Mammalia; Primates; Cercopithecidae. The record is from Ensembl.
GCCAGGCAUGGUGGUGCACGCCUGUAGUCCCAGCUAUUUGGGAGGCUGAGGUGGGAGGAUCGCUUGAGCCCAGGAGGUUGAUGCUGCAGUGAGCUGAGAUUGCAGCACUGCACUCCAGCCUGGGUGACAAAGCAAGACCCCAUCUCAA